Molecule: long non-coding RNA, 1015 nt
Filed under: Papio anubis (olive baboon)
Lineage: Eukaryota; Metazoa; Chordata; Mammalia; Primates; Cercopithecidae
Description: lncRNA (ENSPANG00000041978.1)
Source: RNAcentral
ACCUUUACCCUCUUCUGCCGGAAGGUAAUCAAACUGAGCACCUGGAUAAAGAAACCCCACCUCCCACGGUGCUGAUAAGGACCGGAAAUUGGCUUGUCAAAGUGACGCAGGAAAAUGGAGCCGGCAGUGCAAAGGUGAACUCUAAGAGCCGGUGAAGUUACAAGGAACAGAUUUUAGUAGAAGCAUUACUGGCCCCUUUUUCUCCGGCACAUGCCUGCACCAGACAUCCCUUUUAGGACCAAAUCCUCUGUUUCCCCUAGAUUCCUAUUUCAUGGAUCCUGCCUCUCAUCUGGUUCCCUGGCUCAGAGACACACCCUGAGCUAUCUCCUGUGAUCUACCUGGAGUGGGGACCCACAUCCUGGACUUUUCAAGACUUCACCCAGAUCAUAAAGUGGCCCUAAGCCCUUUCCAGCUUGCUUGUUCUUAGGUACCAAAUAGAUAGUCAGUGUGUGGCACUCAUUAAGCUUAUGCUGUGGGCAGAGCAGUGCAGUGAGGCCUUAUGGAGAAAAACAAUAGAAAUAGAAGUUUUGGUCCCUCAGGGUACGUAAGUGAGUGUCAACGGGCUGCCUGUUAAAUGCAAGCCAUUAUCCUCCGCACUUUCCUUCAUUUACCUUCAUUCCUUCAUUUAUCUUCACAGUGACUCCAGGAGUUACAGCCCCAUUUUCUGAUUUCCAGAGGAAUAAUCCAAACCUCUCCGAGAUUGAGGAACCUGCCUCAAGUAAUGGCUGGAAAGGAAGCGCAAGCCUAAAGGGACGAAGUGACUUGCCCAGGGUCACACAUCUGGUCAGUGCCCUUCACCUGGGGUGAACCUUCGCACAUCCAAGGUGAAGAUGAAGGAAGUCAGCUGUUUCCCUCUUGUGUUUCAAGCAAUGAAGUUGGCUUAAGAUUGGAAUCCUCCUUUCGCCCUUCAGAAUCAUACCUUUUACAAUACAUAAAUGUAUGGUUGCUUUUAACUAAGUUGCCAGGUACAAAUUUUCAAAUACUCCCUGAGCAUGAAUAUGGCAUUAAGAGUUGU